GAUUUAUACAUUAUAUUCUCUCUUUAUCAAUCUGCUUAUUUAGGAUAUGUUUUGGCCUUUAAAAACACCACACUGCUACAGUUCAAAGAGAAAAUAGGCUUGCUGAAUUAUAAUAUGAAAAAUCAAAGCACUCCAUACAGGAUGAAAAACAAGCCCUUACCUUACGAUUUGACAAAAAGCAGGUUAAGCUAAACAGCAUUUUAUUCAAAUGAGAUACAAUUCUGCUCUUUAAACUUACAUUCUUCCAGCACGCCAUUAAUAACAGUGCAGAGAACAAUUCAACUAAACAAUUUUCAGAGCUCCUUUGUGCUAAUAUCUUCAGCUGUGAUCAAUAUAACCAUAUGCACUAUGCUGAAUUAUGCAUUUCAGCUAAAGAUAGAAAGGAACGUUCAAAAGCAAGCCCUUAAACACAUGCAGUUCAUUUAAGCAUUAACCAAAUGCAAACUGCAUUUACAUAUCCUUCCCCCACAGAUUCACACAAUCUGAAACUAAUUUGUACCUUGAAUAAAGAGGUGAAUAUUCUCUAAAAAUAAUUUGCCCGUUAGAUGAAUGUCUACGAGAAGCCAGAGAAGCAUCUUCUGGCGACCGGCACUUGAAUCAAGAGAAGGCAAAUGUGUGAGGGGAGUUCAAAGAAAAGUGAAACCAUUUCAAAAUCUGCACC
This 661-nucleotide long non-coding RNA is filed under the name Mus musculus (house mouse). Its description in RNAcentral is "long non-coding RNA chr8:91277900-91278561". The record is from RNAcentral. Lineage: Eukaryota; Metazoa; Chordata; Mammalia; Rodentia; Muridae.